GCCUGGCGUGUGUCAAGUUUGACUCCCACAGCCCGGGCGAGGUGCUGGCUCACUACGUGCACUGCAGGAUGGAGAUGCAGCAGGCUGUGAAGGAGACGGAGAUGGUGAGACACGAGGAGGAGUGCAGGACUGUGCAGGAGAAGGGCGAAGCACCCUACCGCCCCGGCCUGUUUGCCUUCUCCAAAGGGCUGCCAUCCUAGCCAGGGUGGCACCCCCCAUCCAAAGCAUGUGCCCACAGUGCCAGGACACCUCUGGCGCCUCCCACCCGCGGAAGGACGCUGCUAUCGCUGCUGCCCAGCAGAGACCCGGCGACCACCCCUGCCCGUCA
RNAcentral lists this long non-coding RNA (328 nucleotides) under Gopherus evgoodei (Goodes thornscrub tortoise). RNAcentral's name for it is "lncRNA (ENSGEVG00005016127.1)". The record is from RNAcentral. Lineage: Eukaryota; Metazoa; Chordata; Testudines; Testudinidae.